GGUGAUUUGCUGGCCAGCCGCUCCGCGUGUCCACUCCUCUCCCAAUCUGUGUUGGCUGCCAUCCUAUGCACCUACACCUCCCCGCCGACCAACAACCCUGAGCAGGCGAGCUCCCCCACGGCCGCUGAGGGCCACGCGGCGACGCCUUGUGCCCGGUGGCCGUGCACUGCAGCGCUAGUGCGGUUUUGCCUCCCCAGCGCCUACGUCUACACCGUGCCGCGCAGCCCACGGCCCUGCCGCCAUGCUCCUGCAUCUCCGCCUCCCUUCCUAGUUCCUACAUGUUUUGGAUCAGAUGCAGUGAUGAAUCCUAGCUAUGAUCCAACACGCAAAGUUGCAUGUGUUGAGCUAGGAACUGAAUACUUGAUGGUGCAUGUUCAUUUUCCAUUGGCAAAAUAUGAAGAAUUGAUCAGGCCAUACAAAGGCUACAAAAUUAUUAGCAAUGUCGUAGGACUUGAUAUUGCGUGGCCAGCAAUUUUUGUUGACAAGAUAAAUGGAUCAUGAUCUGGGGCAAUAUGGUUACUGCAAGGUGGACAACUGUCAUCUAAAGAUCCCUUGUGAAUAUGAUGAUGACUGUAAUGUGGAAGAUGGUGGCAAUGAUAGUGGCAACUUCAGAUGCAUGUUUUUUUUUCUAUAGUUUAGAUUACAUUUGUGCAUGAUGUUCUGAAUAAAAUUUAAUGUCAUGACUUAUGAGGAUGAUUUUCCAUGUAAUACAAAAAAUUCUCUUUAAUUACAAUUAGUUUUAUGAAUGACUUGGUU
This 756-nucleotide long non-coding RNA is filed under the name Oryza sativa Indica Group (long-grained rice). RNAcentral describes it as "lncRNA OsZS97_05G006840". The record is from RNAcentral. Lineage: Eukaryota; Viridiplantae; Streptophyta; Magnoliopsida; Poales; Poaceae.